AACAGAAACAAGGGCCCACCACCAACAGGGUAGAUCGUCCGUUGGGCUGGGGGAAGGGGAGGCAUCCCGUGUGUUAGAAAAGUGUGUCCCUGAUUUCGCUGUGCAAAUUGAAAGUGGCAUUACUUUUGCAGGGCCUUAGGGGAGUGAAAAGAGCUCCUGGCAGCCCUUAGCUCAGGGCACUCCAGGCCCCACCCGGCCCUACAGCACAGCUGAGGGAUCAAAGUAGCGCCAUGUCUAGCCCUAAGUCCACACACGAUCCUCUCAGGGCAGCGUGGCGGCCCAUCCCUGGUGGGGCUCAUUACCCCAAUUUUAAGUUUCCUUCUGCAGCAGGGAAGCCUGGUCCUGCCUGCAAAGAGUUUGUCUCCCUUGCUAGAUGGAGCUCCUUGAAGAAGGGGCUGUUUUCUUCAUCUACUCUGACUUCGGACUUGUCACUUUCCCCUCUUGACCUCCAUAUUCAGAUCCGUGAAUAGGAGUAAGUGGGUAAAGGCCCCUCUAGCUUUAAAACCCCUCCAAUACAGAGAGAACUCUGAAACCAGAACCAGAAGCUGAGGCGCGGUGAAUGGAGCAUUUUCCCUGGCAUGAUGGAUGGGACCUACGGAUCUGGCUGUGAAGGCGGUAUCUUGUCACUGGAAUGCCUCUGCAGACUCGGACCCUUGCAACACACAGUUUGCAAACCCAUUGCAAACCCAUAGUUUGCAAAUCAGACUCAAGAAUGAUCUUCAGUAUUGGUGGUUUUGUGUGGGUUUUGUUUGUUAUUUUUAUUUGUUUUUGAGACUUCGUUAUUGGCACAACAGCUUCUGGAAAUCUGUUUCACAGAGAGUAUGGGGGCUUCUUUGGCCAAAUGGAGUGGGUACUUAUGAGUUCGGUCAGUGCCUGAGGGAGCACUCACUUCCUUGCCUGGUCAUAUUUUCAUUGGUGCAGGCUCCGUCUGCUUGGCAGCCACUGUUUGGGCCACAGCCUGUCCGCAGGGUCCUGCUCCUCUCUAAUUUGUUCAGACAUUGUGGUGUGUCUGGCCAUAUCAUUUGUCAUAGGUGUAAAAACAAUCACAACCAAAGCUUAAAGCUGUUGGGAUGAGCAGCUGCCUGGGAAUCACGCUCCUUCCUGCUCUUUCCAAAAAGCCAGGUGCCGCCGGCCAGCAUCCCGCUCCCUUUGACCCGCAGUCUGUGCGGGAAGUAGGCCCGGAGUGGUGCCAGCAGGAGGUGGCCUUAGAAAGGCGGAGACCCAAGGAGCAGAGUGAGUCGGCGUCCAGCUCCACCUGAAAGCGCCAUCUUGUCGCCACUUCCCUCAGGAGCAGCAUGCCCAGCCUCUUGCAUAGGAAGAAGUGGUAAGCUAAGGAGAGAAAUGCAGGGUUCCUAGUACACCAAUUUUCCAACUUUUUCAUCUUGGCCCUGCUUUAAAAUGAUGCAUCUACUGUCUUCAUGCCUCAGCACAGCAGAGAAAACCAUGCUGUGUUCCAGUUUACUUUGAAUGUUUCAGUGAAAAUGAUGAAGCUGAAAAAAUGACGGAGGCCCGUUUUACAUUGCAUUUCUCAGAGUCAUCGCCUCUGCUGCAGAUGGAACAACAGCCAUGGAGAAUGAGGGUCACCUGAAUGUGGAAAAGUUGAGUUGGAGCAAAACUGGCACGGCCAUACUGGAUGGACCUCAGCAUGACCAGGACACAUUUCAGCUCAAAUCCCCUGUGCCAAGAACACAUUCUGCCAAGGACCACCACCUCUUCCCACAACUGUGAGUGGAUUUAUGUCAUCACAGGAGGUGCAAAAACGUGUGGUGAGGUAAAUGAAUUGGGAUGUCCUUGGCUGCCUGAGCAAGAGGGCAACUUUCCUGCCUUUAGAAUAGAGAAAACACAGCAGGAUAAUUAAGAGGAUGAGACUUUGGUUCCAACAGACAGUGGCUUCUCCUUCCCUAAAUUGCCCUUAUUUUGUAGUAAGUUAUAAUAUGUUUAUUUUCUACCACCUUAUUACUUCACUACGUGAACCAAAAAUAAAAUCCUAAAGCCAACCA
Long non-coding RNA from Homo sapiens (human), 2000 nucleotides. Ensembl annotates it as long intergenic non-protein coding RNA 1501. The record is from Ensembl. NCBI's taxonomy places the organism in Eukaryota, Metazoa, Chordata, Mammalia, Primates, Hominidae.